This 201-nucleotide long non-coding RNA is filed under the name Elaeis guineensis (African oil palm). Its description in RNAcentral is "long non-coding RNA (EGUI_LNC043988)". The record is from RNAcentral. Lineage: Eukaryota; Viridiplantae; Streptophyta; Magnoliopsida; Arecales; Arecaceae.
UGCAUGGAGAUUGUAAGUGAUCAAUAAGAGAUCAGUCACUCCUAAUAAAAGGAGCGAACAUCCUAUGUGAUCUCAUAGGUUGAUGAUUCUAAAAGUCUUUGAUCAAAGCAGGAUGAUAAUUAGAAAGAGAUUUUUAAUGUAUCAUUAACUAAAUCAUCACCUUCUAAUCAAGAUAUAUUUAUAUAAGCAAUUGGGUUUGAU